This 492-nucleotide ribosomal RNA is filed under the name uncultured bacterium. RNAcentral describes it as "bacterial SSU rRNA". It matches the Rfam family "Bacterial small subunit ribosomal RNA", at positions 40 to 507 of the family's 1533-position model. The record is from RNAcentral.
CGGCGUGCCUAACACAUGCAAGUCGUACGAGAAAGCCGGCUUCGGCUGGUGAGUAAAGUGGCGCACGGGUGAGUAACGCGUGGAUAAUCUGCCCUUAAGUGUGGAAUAACGUACCGAAAGGUGCGCUAAUACCGCAUAAUGCCUGGCAACACAAGUUGUCCGGCCAAAGAAGGCCUCUGUUUACUAAGCUUUCGCUUCAGGAUGAGUCCGCGUACCAUUAGCUUGUUGGUGGGGUAAUGGCCUACCAAGGCUGCGAUGGUUAGCUGGUCUGAGAGGAUGAUCAGCCACACUGGAACUGAGACACGGUCCAGACUCCUACGGGAGGCAGCAGUGAGGAAUAUUGCGCAAUGGGGGCAACCCUGACGCAGCAACGCCGCGUGAGUGAGGAAGGUUUUCGGACUGUAAAGCUCUGUCGAGCGGGAAGAAGUGUACCAUGGCUAAUAUCCAUGAUAUUUGACGGUACCGCUAGAGGAAGCACCGGCUAACUCCGUG